Pocillopora damicornis (cauliflower coral) is the source of this 1648-nucleotide long non-coding RNA. RefSeq lists it as uncharacterized. The record is from RefSeq and is a predicted model, not a curated record. Lineage: Eukaryota; Metazoa; Cnidaria; Anthozoa; Scleractinia; Pocilloporidae.
UCGACGAGUAACCACCGAGGAUCUUUGCCCAUGACUGGGACUAUCAUUUUUGGAAUGAGUCCUUCUGGUGUGUCCUGGUCAGUAAACAAAUACCUACCAAGAAGAGGCGGAAAUCAUGAAUGAAAAAAGUUUUUGUACGCCAAAGCCGACGAUGCAAACACGGUUUUCCCGAUAUUUCUAGCAGUUAGGGGAAUUUUGUAUUUGGCAACAAAAAGCUGCGCAUGCUCACUAUCACAAAAACAGCGCGGGCUCAAAUUACAUAACAAUGAGUCAUCAAUUACUUGUCGAGGUCAGGGUCAUGGCGCAAGCGAAAUUCGAAUGAUAUUCUGGCUAGAGUCACGGAAAAUGAUAAAAAAGAUGUCAAUUUCAUAAGUUUUCUUUGUAAUUUCGGAAAUGAAAGGGGAAAAUAUUCCAUAUUCAUCGAGAAUUAAGACUCGUGACUCAGCCACUUGUGACGCAUCACGCGAGUACGUGAUGGAUCGUGCACCUUGGCCUCAGCCCGCGCGAUUACGUCAUCACAGAGAGUGAUUUAAAAUAGUGUUAAGCCUUUGUCCGCUUUUCCGCUUCAGAAGGCCGAGAAGCAGAGUGGUCAAAUGCCACAAAACCGCAUCAAACGGUCGGUUCUCUCAAUCUCCAGCUGUCCAGUCAAAGAACAAGGAAUCGAAGAAAGGCAACCGCGUUUGAUUUAAGUGUUUAGAGGUGGUAACACAAUGACUGUGACAGUUCACAACCGGCACGGCAAAAUUCCCAUGCCGCCGUUUGAAUUAACAAGGAAAUGAGUCACUCGUAAUUUCUAAGAACGUUUUUCGUUAUGGUAGACAUCUCAAACUUUCAACUUGACGGUGGAAAGACCUUCGCGUGUCUCUACAUUUUCGUGCAUUUUUGGCUUAAAAACAUAAACCAAAAAGCCGGGGCCUGAAGCAAUUUCCUCCGUGGGAGGUCAAACUUUCUUACAUAAACCCAGCCGUUGUUUAGGCCCUGUUUGUUCCGUUAGAAAACUAUACAAUGUGUUCAUGGCGAACUUAUUGUCGGCUCUGUAAGGAGCCGAUGAAGUCCUUUCCUUCCCAUGAAACGCGAAUCGACUCGUGAUCUUAGAUCUCCGAUCGGCAAAAUCUUAAUUAGCAAACAUUUCCAUUGCUGAUUACCGUCACCUGUGUUCGCUGAUUAGCACUGACUUUUAAGAUUUACCUGAUGAUGUUUCGGUCUCCCCAUGUUCAGUGUUAGCUUUUAUUCGUGAUUGUUUUGUUAUCAGUGGCUUCCUAUGAUGGCUAUUUUUCUCAUAUGAUCGAGAUUUGGGAAAAAAGAGCUGCAUUGUGGAACUCUCCGAGGGUGCUUGAUGAACUGAUGAUCACGAAAACACAAAAUGCAACAGUUGCGUAAAGCUUCCCAGAGUGAGAACCUUUCAAAAGACCCUGAUGGAGAUCUGCUCGGGCAGGUUUUAAAAGGAAAACGAUUUCUCUUUCGCUAGCAGUUGGGAACUUUUUACUCCGAUUUUACAGCAGAAUGCCACCGGGAGCCCAUUACUCAGAAACUCUAACAAAAAACAAGUUAGCCUGCGUCUUGAAUUGAAGUUCGAAAAUUUUGUGUAUUAAAGAGGAUAUCUAAGUUUUGUAACGAAGCCAAAAAUAAAUAGAGAUCUUUAACUCAA